Homo sapiens (human) is the source of this 932-nucleotide long non-coding RNA. RefSeq lists it as uncharacterized. The record is from RefSeq and is a predicted model, not a curated record. The transcript is spliced from 2 exons. Lineage: Eukaryota; Metazoa; Chordata; Mammalia; Primates; Hominidae.
AUAUGAGCCCUACAUGACAACCUGCAACUUAACUUAAUAGGGAAACCAACUGAAAACCUGACUUAGGAAUUUGCCUUUGUAACAAAUAGCUGAGUCUCGGCCAAUCACGGCAGCAGAGCUUCAGUCAAUCACAGGUGGCCAGCUAUUCAAACCAGGUUCAACAGGCAAAUACCAAGCUUUAACUGGCUGAGCCGUCUGUAUCCCUCCUUCCAUCUUCUGUUCUUCAAUUACCUUUUUUUUUGCCUGUAAACAUUAACCAGCCAUGUGGCAGCCUCAGGAGUCUUUCAGAACCUGUUCUGGUUCUGAGGAUUGCCCGACGCACAAAUAGUUCUUUGCUCAAUUAAAUGCUGUUACAUUUAAUUUGUCUAAAGCUUUUCUUUUAACAGAUGUUUAUAAGAUAGGUGUUCAUAAGCAAGAGAAUGUAACUCUAUUUGCCUUUAAAUACUUGUUAUGAAGAAGUUAUAUUUGCAAAGUUCUAAGAAAGCUGCAAUCACUUGCUGUUGCCGGAAACUGCCUUGUGGCCUGGCGUCCUGGGAAUUUGCUUGGCUUUUUGUGGCCGCCAUCCAAAACUGGGAACCACAAGUCAAAGAUGCUGGGAAAUGCCAUCAAUCCAGAAGAGAAAUGCAGCCGCGUGAUGCCUCACUCACCAGAAGGGAUUGCAGGGUGACCCUGUCUGAUUACCAGCCUCGACUUAGGAAAUACAGCCAAUGAUGAAAUUCAUGGCAGGCAAAUUCCCUGUUCAAGGUGGAGCAACAGCAUGAUGGAUGGGCCAGCAGUGAUGGAUAGCCCCUCUGAAUUUUGGUUCAUGGGUUUCCUCCAGCAAGGACUGAGUUGUCCCAGAGAUAACACUCUACCAGCGGCUGGGCUCUGGGCUGAAUGCUUGCUUAGGGAUAACACCCUCAUUACCCAGUAAAGCAAAUUAUUAUUGACAA